This 274-nucleotide ribosomal RNA is filed under the name uncultured bacterium. RNAcentral's name for it is "partial 16S ribosomal RNA". It matches the Rfam family "Bacterial small subunit ribosomal RNA", at positions 523 to 796 of the family's 1533-position model. The record is from RNAcentral.
AGACGAACCGUACGAACGUUAUUCGGAAUUACUGGGCUUAAAGGGUGCGUAGGCUGCACGGAAAGUUGGGUGUGAAAGCCCUCAGCUCAACUGAGGAAUUGCAUCCAAAACUGCCGUGCUUGAGGGAGACAGAGGUGAGCGGAACUCAAGGUGGAGCGGUGAAAUGCGUUGAUAUCUUGAGGAACACCGGUGGCGAAAGCGGCUCACUGGGUCUCUUCUGACGCUGAGGCACGAAAGCUAAGGUAGCAAACGGGAUUAGAUACCCCAGUAGUCC